Sorex araneus (European shrew) is the source of this 161-nucleotide small nuclear RNA. Its record names the gene U1. It matches the Rfam family "U1 spliceosomal RNA". From Rfam's summary of the family: U1 is a small nuclear RNA (snRNA) component of the spliceosome (involved in pre-mRNA splicing). The record is from Ensembl. Lineage: Eukaryota; Metazoa; Chordata; Mammalia; Eulipotyphla; Soricidae.
AUACUUACCUUGUUGGGAGAUACCAUUAUCACGAAGGUGGUUUUCUCAGGACAUAUCUUGUUCAUUGCACUCCUGAUGUGCUGACUCAUGCAAUUUCCCCAAAUGUGGGAAAUUCAGCUGCAUAAUUUGUAGUAAUGGAUUUGACUGAUCACUUCAUUUGU